RNAcentral lists this long non-coding RNA (370 nucleotides) under Rattus norvegicus (Norway rat). Its description in RNAcentral is "long non-coding RNA NONRATT014731". The record is from RNAcentral. Lineage: Eukaryota; Metazoa; Chordata; Mammalia; Rodentia; Muridae.
UCCAGGCCAACUGGCUGCUUCCUUGCUCGGCUCCCGCCCUGGCUCCCGCCGGCGGCCCCAGGCAAAGAGCCACCACUCACUGAGCUGCUCAUUGUAUGCGCCCCGGGCGGGCAGCGCAGAGCAGCACAGAAGCGCAGCCGGCAGCGCAGGCUCGAGGAACCUCCAGGUACCUCCCACGGGUUUGUGAGCAACACAAGCCAGCUCUCCCAGCCCUAGACAGCAGCUCUAGCCAGAGGCAUGCGGCUACCCCGCUUCUCCAGCACUGUAGUGCUUUCGCUCCUGAUAGUGCAGACCGGCAUCCUGGUCUUCCUGGUCUCCCGGCAAAUGCCAUCAUCCCCAGCAGGCCGUGGGGAGCAUGUGCAUGUGCUGG